Molecule: transfer RNA, 72 nt
Filed under: Rattus norvegicus (Norway rat)
Lineage: Eukaryota; Metazoa; Chordata; Mammalia; Rodentia; Muridae
Rfam family: tRNA
About the family: Transfer RNA (tRNA) molecules are approximately 80 nucleotides in length.
Source: Rfam by way of RNAcentral
AGGGAUAUAGCUCUGAGGUAGAAUAUUUGACUUCAGAUUAAGAGGUCCCUGGUUCAAAUCAUGGUGACCCCU